RNAcentral lists this unclassified non-coding RNA (349 nucleotides) under Cystobasidium lysinophilum. RNAcentral's name for it is "sequence contains ITS1". The stretch from base 1 to 105 matches the Rfam family "5.8S ribosomal RNA", at positions 50 to 154 of the family's 154-position model. Lineage: Eukaryota; Fungi; Basidiomycota; Cystobasidiomycetes; Cystobasidiales; Cystobasidiaceae. The record is from RNAcentral.
GAAUUGCGAUAAGUAAUGUGAAUUGCAGAAUUCAGUGAAUCAUCGAAUCUUUGAACGCACCUUGCACUCUUUGGUAUUCCGAAGAGUAUGUCUGUUUGAGUGUCAUGAAACUCUCAACCCCCCUAUUUUGUAAUGAGAUGGGUGUGGGCUUGGAUUAUGGUUGUUGUCGGCGUAAUUGCCGGCUCAACUGAAAUACACGAGCAACCCCUUUGAAAUAGACGGUUUGACUCGGCGUAAUAAUUAUUUCGCUGAGGACGUCUUCUUCAAAAGUAAGCGGUGCUUCUAAUGCGCUUUUAAAGCAUCUUAAGCUUUAGACCUCAAAUCAGUCAGGACUACCCGCUGAACUUAA